Molecule: ribosomal RNA, 305 nt
Filed under: uncultured bacterium
Lineage: Bacteria
Description: bacterial SSU rRNA
Rfam family: Bacterial small subunit ribosomal RNA
Source: RNAcentral
CUUCACCUACGGGGGGCAGCAGUGAGGAAUAUUGGUCAAUGGGCGAGAGCCUGAACCAGCCAAGUCGCGUGAAGGAUGACGGCCCUACGGGUUGUAAACUUCUUUUGUCAGGGACAAAAUCAGGCUCGAGAGCCUGACCGAGGGUACUUGAAGAAAAAGCAUCGGCUAACUCCGUGCCAGCAGCCGCGGUAAUACGGAGGAUGCGAGCGUUAUCCGGAUUUAUUGGGUUUAAAGGGUGCGUAGGCGGGCUGUUAAGUCAGCGGUAAAAGCCCGGGGCUCAACCCCGGCGAGCCGUUGAAACUGGC